Clupea harengus (Atlantic herring) is the source of this 399-nucleotide long non-coding RNA. Lineage: Eukaryota; Metazoa; Chordata; Actinopteri; Clupeiformes; Clupeidae. The record is from Ensembl.
CAUGGUUGGAGUUGCAGGGCAGGGUGAGGUCUCACGGUUGGAGGUGCAGGGUGAGGUGAGGUCUCAUGGUUGGAGGUGAGGGCGAGGUGAGGUCUCAUGGUUGGAGGUGAGGGGGUGAGGUCUCAUGGUUGGAUGUGCAGGGUGAGGUCUCAUGGUUGGCAGGGUGUCUCACGGUUGGAGGUGCAGGGUGAGGUCUCAUGGUUGGAGGUGAGGGGGUGAGGUCUCAUGGUUGGCAGGGUGUCUCACGGUUGGAGGUGCAGGGUGAGGUCUCAUGGUUGGAGGUGAGGGGGUGAGGUCUCGUGGUUGGAGGUGCAGGGCAGGGUGAGGUCUCGUGGUUGGAGGUUCAGGGUGAGGUCUCAUGGUUGGAGGUACAGGGUGAGGUCUCACGGUUGGAGGUGC